RNAcentral lists this ribosomal RNA (335 nucleotides) under uncultured Planctomycetales bacterium. RNAcentral describes it as "bacterial SSU rRNA". It matches the Rfam family "Bacterial small subunit ribosomal RNA", at positions 473 to 806 of the family's 1533-position model. Lineage: Bacteria; Pseudomonadati; Planctomycetota; Planctomycetia; Planctomycetales. The record is from RNAcentral.
CUAAGGCUCCAGAGGAAGCCACGGCUAACUCUGUGCCAGCAGCCGCGGUAAUACAGAGGCGGCAAGCGUUGUUCGGAAUUAUUGGGCGUAAAGAGCACGUAGGCGGCCUUGCAAGUCAGUUGUGAAAGCCUUCCGCUUAACGGAAGAAUGCCAGCUGAAACUACAGGGCUUGAGUACGGGAGGGGAGAGUGGAACUUCUGGUGGAGCGGUGAAAUGCGUAGAUAUCAGAAGGAACGCCGGCGGCGAAAGCGACUCUCUGGCCCGAAACUGACGCUGAGUGUGCGAAAGCUAGGGGAGCAAACGGGAUUAGAUACCCCGGUAGUCCUAGCCGUAAA